GACGAACGCUGGCGGCGUGCUUAACACAUGCAAGUCGAACGGAAAGGCCUCUUUCGGGGGGUACUCGAGUGGCGAACGGGUGAUUAACACGUUAGUAACCUGCCCUUGACUUUGGGUUAACUUCAGGAAACUGGGGCUAAUACCGGAUAGGAGCUCCUGCUGCCUGGUGGGGGUUGGAAAGUUUCGGCGGUUGGGGAUGGACUCGCGGCUUAUCAGCUUGUUGGUGGGGUAGUGGCUUACCAAGGCUUUGACGGGUAGCCGGCCUGAGAGGGUGACCGGCCACAAUGGGACUGAGAUACGGCCCAGACUCCUACGGGAGGCAGCAGUGGGGAAUAUUGCACAAUGGGUGGAAGCCUGAUGCAGCAACGCCGUGUGCGGGAUGACGGACUUCGGGUUGUAAACCGCUUUCGCUCAUGACGAAGCUUUGUGUGACGGUAGUGGGUAAAGAAGCACCGGCUAACUACGUG
RNAcentral lists this ribosomal RNA (467 nucleotides) under uncultured bacterium. RNAcentral's name for it is "partial 16S ribosomal RNA". It matches the Rfam family "Bacterial small subunit ribosomal RNA", at positions 28 to 507 of the family's 1533-position model. The record is from RNAcentral.